UACGGGGGGAGCAAACGUUGUUCGGAAUCACUGGGCGUAAAGGGCGUGUAGGCGGCUGGAUAAGUGGGAUGUUAAAUCCCCCGGCUCAACCGGGGACCUGCAUCUCAUACUGUUCAGCUCGAGCACAUCAGAGGAGACUGGAAUUCCCGGUGUAGCGGUGAAAUGCGUAGAUAUCAGGAGGAACACCGAUGGCGAAGGCAGGUCUCUGGGCCACUACUGACGCUGAGAAGCGAAAGCAUGGGGAGCGAACAGG
This 253-nucleotide ribosomal RNA is filed under the name uncultured bacterium. Its description in RNAcentral is "partial 16S ribosomal RNA". It matches the Rfam family "Bacterial small subunit ribosomal RNA", at positions 524 to 776 of the family's 1533-position model. The record is from RNAcentral.